RNAcentral lists this ribosomal RNA (207 nucleotides) under uncultured bacterium. RNAcentral describes it as "partial 16S ribosomal RNA". It matches the Rfam family "Bacterial small subunit ribosomal RNA", at positions 568 to 774 of the family's 1533-position model. The record is from RNAcentral.
CGCGUAGGCGGCUUGCCAAGUCAGGGGUGAAAUCCUGCAGCUCAACUGUAGAAGUGCCUUUGAUACUGGCGAGCUCGAGGGAGGUAGGGGUGGGUGGAACUUCUGGUGGAGCGGUGAAAUGCGUUGAUAUCAGAAGGAACGCCGGUGGCGAAAGCGACCCACUGGAUCUCUACUGACGCUGAGGCGCGAAAGCUAGGGGAGCAAACG